Molecule: long non-coding RNA, 684 nt
Organism: Mastomys coucha (southern multimammate mouse)
Lineage: Eukaryota; Metazoa; Chordata; Mammalia; Rodentia; Muridae
Exons: 5
Source: RefSeq, a predicted model, not a curated record
UGACCCAGAGGUUCUAGGUCAAAGCCUUGGUCCUUAAGAGAGAGGCUGUGAGCAAGUCCUUCAAGCUCUGCUUGUUGCAUGAUGGAGUAACAGCAGCACUGUCGAUCCAAAGGCCUGGAGGUGCCCUGCUGGUCUGAGGACGUGGAGGUGAAUCCAGGACACUCUGCACACUCCAGAGACAGAGGCAGAAGAAGGCACUCAGGUGCUGGGUGUUUCAAUGAUUCCUAAACAAGGGCCCACUUGCUGGCAAGAGAUCUGGAUGGUCCUGUACAGGCUAUUUGCAAGGCAGGUCCUACAGGCAGAAGAGACGCUGAGAAAGAAAGCACGGGCAACCUGAGGGCCACGGGAACCACUAGGCUUUGUGUCGCCCCUAACCCGUGCUGGAGAUGGUGAACACUCAGAGCGCACGGCCACGCCCACAGCACUGAGCACCAACGAGACUGCCAAAACUCCCUUUAGAAGUUCCUGGAGGCACCCAGAUGCAGUAUCACACUGGCUGAGAACAAUGGCAGACCUGGGGACUGUGUCAUUGUGGACUGCUGGUUCUGCACUGUUGAUUGAGCUUGACAAGGUUUCCCGCUCCAGUAACUGACCAGUGCCAGCAAACAGCUGGCGUGUCCAGCCUUUGUUUUCAGGCCUUUUAAUUGGGCUGUAUGAUUCUUGGAAUAAAUGGAAUUGAUGAGU